AUGAACGCUGGCGGCGUGCCUAAUACAUGCAAGUCGAGCGAACAGACGAGGAGCUUGCUCCUCUGACGUUAGCGGCGGACGGGUGAGUAACACGUGGAUAACCUACCUAUAAGACUGGGAUAACUUCGGGAAACCGGAGCUAAUACCGGAUAAUAUAUUGAACCGCAUGGUUCAAUAGUGAAAGACGGUUUUGCUGUCACUUAUAGAUGGAUCCGCGCCGCAUUAGCUAGUUGGUAAGGUAACGGCUUACCAAGGCAACGAUGCGUAGCCGACCUGAGAGGGUGAUCGGCCACACUGGAACUGAGACACGGUCCAGACUCCUACGGGAGGCAGCAGUAGGGAACCUUCCGCAAUGGGCGAAAGCCUGACGGAGCAACGCCGCGUGAGUGAUGAAGGUCUUCGGAUCGUAAAACUCUGUUAUUAGGGAAGAACAAAUGUGUAAGUAACUAUGCACGUCUUGACGGUACCUAAUCAGAAAGCCACGGCUAACUACGUG
This 496-nucleotide ribosomal RNA is filed under the name uncultured bacterium. Its description in RNAcentral is "partial 16S ribosomal RNA". It matches the Rfam family "Bacterial small subunit ribosomal RNA", at positions 29 to 507 of the family's 1533-position model. The record is from RNAcentral.